UACGUAGGGUGCAAGCGUUAUCCGGAAUUAUUGGGCGUAAAGGGCGCGUAGGCGGUUUCUUAAGUUUGGAGUGACAGUGGGUGGCUUAACUACCCAAGGCCUCUGAAAACUGGGGAACUUGAGGACCAGAGAGGGACAUAGAAUUCCGGGUGGAGUGGUGAAAUGCGUAGAUAUCCGGAGGAAUACCAAAGGCGAAGGCAGUGUCCUGGAGGGUGACUGACGCUGAGGCGCGAAAGCUAGGGAGCGAACAGG
RNAcentral lists this ribosomal RNA (252 nucleotides) under uncultured bacterium. RNAcentral's name for it is "partial 16S ribosomal RNA". It matches the Rfam family "Bacterial small subunit ribosomal RNA", at positions 524 to 776 of the family's 1533-position model. The record is from RNAcentral.